UACGUAGGGGGCAAGCGUUGUCCGGAAUUAUUGGGCGUAAAGAGCGCGUAGGCGGUCCGGUAAGUCGGUUGUGAAAGUCGGGGGCUCAACCCUCGGAUGCCGAUCGAUACUGCCGGGCUAGAGUCCGGAAGAGGCGAGUGGAAUUCCUGGUGUAGCGGUGGAAUGCGCAGAUAUCAGGAGGAACACCAAUAGCGAAGGCAGCUCGCUGGGACGGUACUGACGCUAAGGCGCGAAAGCGUGGGGAGCAAACAGG
This 253-nucleotide ribosomal RNA is filed under the name uncultured bacterium. RNAcentral describes it as "partial 16S ribosomal RNA". It matches the Rfam family "Bacterial small subunit ribosomal RNA", at positions 524 to 776 of the family's 1533-position model. The record is from RNAcentral.